CAGGCAUUGUGAUGUAGCAUUAGGCUACUAUUGAUCUUCUGAUCAUAUGUCAGAAGGAGGAUCAUCUGCUGUGGGUGUUCCUGAUCUUUGAGCCAUGAUAAUGUUACUGGUUGGAUGUCAGGAGCAGGCCAUGUGGAUGAUUAAAAGAUGAAUAUCAUAUACAGCAUGGAUAUGUUGGACAAAAAGAUGAUUCACAUCCCAGACAGAAUGGAGCAGCACAUUUAUUAAAAGCCAGAAGCUAGAAGACGAGGAAAGAAGAGGUGGUUAAAGAAAGAUACAGUAACAGCAGUAAUAUCUAACAGGAAGGCUACAGGGGAAAAUACAGAAAUUCCAUAAAGAACAAACACUGUAACUCAAAACCAAAGCUUUGCUAGUCACUAGUGCCCGCUACAUCCUAACAGAUGCAGCUGGAGAGCCUGGGGUGAGAACAUGAGCAGUCUAUAAUCAGAAAAUCCCUUUGGGAUAAAUUGACAAAAAUAUAAACCACUCCACAAAGGAGAAAUUGUAAAUGCAGGCAGAAGACAAUAAGGGAG
This 533-nucleotide long non-coding RNA is filed under the name Homo sapiens (human). Its description in RNAcentral is "HSALNT0324391". The record is from RNAcentral. Lineage: Eukaryota; Metazoa; Chordata; Mammalia; Primates; Hominidae.